RNAcentral lists this ribosomal RNA (460 nucleotides) under uncultured bacterium. RNAcentral's name for it is "partial 16S ribosomal RNA". It matches the Rfam family "Bacterial small subunit ribosomal RNA", at positions 338 to 795 of the family's 1533-position model. The record is from RNAcentral.
CCUACGGGAGGCAGCAGUGAGGAAUAUUGGUCAAUGGACGCAAGUCUGAACCAGCCAUGCCGCGUGCAGGAUGACGGCCCUAUGAGUUGUAAACUGUUUUUGUACGAGGGUAAACCCCGAUACGUGUAUCGGGUUGAAAGUAUCGUACGAAUAAGGAUCGGCUAACUCCGUGCCAGCAGCCGCGGUAAUACGGAGGUUCCGGGCGUUAUCCGGAUUUAUUGGGUUUAAAGGGUGGGUAGGCGGUUUGAUAAGUUAGAGGGGAAAGGUCGGGGUUCAACGCCGAAACUGCCUCUAAUACUGUUGGGCUAGAGAAUAGUUGCGGUAGGCGGAAUGUAUGGUGUAGCGGUGAAAUGCUUAGAGAUCAUACAGAACACCGAUUGCGAAGGCAGCUUACGAAACUAUAUCUGACGUUGAGGCACGAAAGCGUGGGUAGCAAACAGGAUUAGAUACCCGAGUAGUC